This 1318-nucleotide long non-coding RNA is filed under the name Phascolarctos cinereus (koala). Its description in RNAcentral is "lncRNA (ENSPCIG00000036248.1)". The record is from RNAcentral. Lineage: Eukaryota; Metazoa; Chordata; Mammalia; Diprotodontia; Phascolarctidae.
GGUGUGGCCACAGUUUCCCAGAGAACUAUAACAGCUGAGUCCCCCAAAGGCCUAGUGUAGACCUUCAGGCUGGCCUUGAAUUCCAACCCAUUCAAAGGGGAUUACAUCUCCAGAAACAGGAAGCUGGAGUCUGGGAUGAACACUGCACGCUCCACCAGGCUGGACUUGUACCAGGAAUGUCGGUUUGGUUCAGCACAAGGAAGACCAUAAAUAGAACAAGUCAUAUUAAUAAUGCUUAUACUCCAAAGAAAUCUUUUUAGGCGAUCAGAAAAAUGUUACUGGAGCUUGGAUCAACAACACUGUAGAGCCAUGAACUUUGUAAGAAAAAUGUCUGCUAUACAUACCUCCUUCUUCUCUUUAGAGAGGUGGUAGCCUACAGGUGCAGAAUGAGGCAUACAUUAUCAGAUAUAACCAAUGUGUCCAUUUGUUUUCUUGAACUGUUUUUUGUUACAAAGGAAGAUUUUACUGGAGUCAGGGGACUCAUCUGGAAGUGACAAAGAAAAUAUAUCAGUAAAAUUUUUUUAAAUGACUGUUAUAAAUGUCGGUGCCUGGUCUCACAGAGAAGAGUGAUCUCUGUCAGGUGGGAGGGCCCACACUGAACAUGAAAGGAGCUUGUCUACAAGGAAGGAGACACAAGAAAAUCUAAAAAAGAGAAUAUCUGGGGAAGAUUGGAGGUAAGGGCAGAGAGCUGGUAACUGCUCAGAUCAGCCUCCAAAGGGGCAGGUCUUCUUUUGGGAGCCAGGGAGACUUCUCAUGGCAUUCAAGCUAAACGUGGAAAAAUAUUUGUGUGGACUUGGGGACUGGGCGUGAGGUAUACCGUUUGUCUGGGGAAUGUAAUAGAACCUCCCUCUUGCAAACCAGUCAUUUGAUUUUGUAGUUGCCUUCUAAGUUUGUGCCUGGAGGGACGGCCUUUCCCACAUUAUCUACACUAGGACCCUUGGAUUCUCUUCCGACGGCCCGGGGGCUGAGUAGUCACCUUGUGAGCCAUCCUAGAAACUCUCCCCCGCAGAACCGUAAAACUCAAGCUUGGGGAUCACUUAGGUUUUCCCUCAGAAGAGGAAGCCCCUACGGGAGCAGAGUGCCCCUAAAGUUAUAAAUGCAGGUCCUCGAGGGGAGAUGCUGCUCCUGGCUCUCGAGGGGAGAGAGCCCAGACUCUCAGAUCUCACAGUGACCCCUAGCGUUACCCAUCAGUGGCAUUCAACCAGCAUUUAUAGAGCCCCAUAAGGCUGGCAAGGCAACUUAUCUGUUUUCUCAUUGGACCCUCACCAUCACGCUGGAAGGUAAAUGCUAUUAUUAUCCCACUUUAUUGAUGAAGAAA